UACGGGGGGGGCAAGCGUUGUUCGGAAUUACUGGGCGUAAAGGGCUCGUAGGCGGCCAACUAAGUCGGAUGUGAAAUCCCCAAGCUUAACUUGGGAACUGCAUCCGAUACUGGAUGGCUUGAAUCCGGGAGAGGGAUGCAGAAUUCCAGGUGUAGCGGUGAAAUGCGUAGAUAUCUGGAGGAAUACCGGUGGCGAAGGCGGCAUCCUGGACCGGCAUUGACGCUGAGGAGCGAAAGCGUGGGGAGCAAACAGG
Molecule: ribosomal RNA, 253 nt
Filed under: uncultured bacterium
Lineage: Bacteria
Description: partial 16S ribosomal RNA
Rfam family: Bacterial small subunit ribosomal RNA
Source: RNAcentral